CCUACGGGAGGCAGCAGUGAGGAAUAUUGGUCAAUGGGCGCGAGCCUGAACCAGCCAAGUAGCGUGAAGGAUGACUGCCCUACGGGUUGUAAACUUCUUUUAUAAAGGAAUAAAGUGAGGCACGUGUGCCUUUUUGUAUGUACUUUAUGAAUAAGGAUCGGCUAACUCCGCGCCAGCAGCCGCGGUAAUACGGAGGGUCCGAGCGUGACCCGGAUUUAUUGGGUUUAAAGGGAGCGUAGGUGGGUUGUUAAGUCAGUUGUGAAAGUUUGGGGCUCAACCGUAAAAUUGCAAUUGAUACUGGCAGCCUUGAGUACAGUUGAGGUAGGCGGAAUUCGUGGUGUAGCGGUGAAAUGCUUAGAUAUCACGAGGAACUCCGGUUGCGAAGGCAGCCUACUAAACUGCCACUGACAUUGAUGCUCGAAAGUGUGGGUAUCAAACAGGAUUAGAUACCCGGGUAGUC
This 460-nucleotide ribosomal RNA is filed under the name uncultured bacterium. Its description in RNAcentral is "partial 16S ribosomal RNA". It matches the Rfam family "Bacterial small subunit ribosomal RNA", at positions 338 to 795 of the family's 1533-position model. The record is from RNAcentral.